CCUACGGGGGGCAGCAGUGAGGAAUAUUGGUCAAUGGGCGCGAGCCUGAACCAGCCAAGUCGCGUGAGGGAUGAAGGUUCUAUGGAUCGUAAACCUCUUUUAUAAGGGGAUAAAGUGUGGGACGUGUCCUAUUUUGUAUGUACCUUAUGCAUAAGGAUCGGCUAACUCCGUGCCAGCAGCCGCGGUAAUACGGAGGAUCCGAGCGUUAGCCGGAUUUAUUGGGUUUAAAGGGUGCGUAGGCGGCCUUUUAAGUCAGCGGUGAAAGUCUGUGGCUCAACCAUAGAAUUGCCGUUGAUACUGGGGGGCUUGAGUAUGUUUGAGGCAGGCGGAAUGCGUGGUGUAGCGGUGAAAUGCUUAGAGAUCACGCAGAACCCCGAUUGCGAAGGCAGCCUGCCAGGCCAUGACUAACGCUGAUGCGCGAAAGCGUGGGGAUCAAACAGGAUUAGAUACCCGGGUAGUC
This 460-nucleotide ribosomal RNA is filed under the name uncultured bacterium. Its description in RNAcentral is "partial 16S ribosomal RNA". It matches the Rfam family "Bacterial small subunit ribosomal RNA", at positions 338 to 795 of the family's 1533-position model. The record is from RNAcentral.